GAAAUAUGUGAUUCAAAUAAAAGCCGCUAACUUUUAAUUUUAAUAGUUAAACUCUAUUUAUAUUUCU
RNAcentral lists this transfer RNA (67 nucleotides) under Orfelia nemoralis. Its description in RNAcentral is "tRNA-Ser". Lineage: Eukaryota; Metazoa; Arthropoda; Insecta; Diptera; Keroplatidae. The record is from RNAcentral.